RNAcentral lists this ribosomal RNA (466 nucleotides) under uncultured bacterium. Its description in RNAcentral is "partial 16S ribosomal RNA". It matches the Rfam family "Bacterial small subunit ribosomal RNA", at positions 29 to 506 of the family's 1533-position model. The record is from RNAcentral.
ACGAACGCUGGCGACGUGCUUAACACAUGCAAGUCGAACGGAAAGGCCCUGCUUUUGUGGGGUGCUCGAGUGGCGAACGGGUGAGUAACACGUGAGUAACCUGCCCUUGACUUUGGGAUAACUUCAGGAAACUGGGGCUAAUACCGGAUAGGAGCUCCUGCUGCAUGGUGGGGGUUGGAAAGUUUCGGCGGUUGGGGAUGGACUCGCGGCUUAUCAGCUUGUUGGUGGGGUAGUGGCUUACCAAGGCUUUGACGGGUAGCCGGCCUGAGAGGGUGACCGGCCACAUUGGGACUGAGAUACGGCCCAGACUCCUACGGGAGGCAGCAGUGGGGAAUAUUGCACAAUGGGCGGAAGCCUGAUGCAGCAACGCCGCGUGCGGGAUGACGGCCUUCGGGUUGUAAACCGCUUUCGCCUGUGACGAAGCGUGAGUGACGGUAAUGGGUAAAGAAGCACCGGCUAACUACGU